This is a non-coding RNA of Rattus norvegicus (Norway rat), 629 nucleotides long. Lineage: Eukaryota; Metazoa; Chordata; Mammalia; Rodentia; Muridae. The record is from RefSeq and is a predicted model, not a curated record.
GCUUAACCCUCAAAUGCAAAAAAAAAAAAGACAAAAAAAUGGGACGCAGAGGAAAAUUCAAGAGAACAAAUGGUUUGCAGAGGAAUUUUGAGUGCUUGUCUUCAGUCCCUCACACCUCACACAGAAUAAACGAGCAACCAUCAGCAAUGAGUGUAUUUAGAAGAAGUUCGCCAUUCCUCAUCAGAGUGAAUAUUUCUGUAUGUCACCUCAAAACACAGGAUUUCUACAGAUAGAGUAGAUAAAAGUUUAUUUUCACACGGAGGACGCUAAGGCACAAAGCAAGAGGCAAAUACUUGGAGGCAUUGUGGCUUGAGUGUGCCAGAUGUCAGCCAUGUGGUAGAAAAGAUGAUACGCAGCCUGCUGUUCACUGCAUGGUUCUGAAUCAAUGCUCAGACCGAUGGGGAGCUGAUGAACUAGUCCUCGGAUUUCCUGCACUUCCAGAUCUUCAUCUGAAAGCGAUGGGUAAGACAUCUCCUCCAGAACAAAAAGGGCAAAAAUAGAAAGUACAUAUGAUAUAAAACCGAAAGCACACAUACUAGUCAGACCAGUAAAGUUUCCGUUUGCUAGAUCCAAAUGUGUUAAGUGCAUCAAGAAAGUUCAAAAUGCAUUGUCUUCAAAACGGAAGACUC